RNAcentral lists this ribosomal RNA (446 nucleotides) under Mesorhizobium loti. RNAcentral describes it as "bacterial SSU rRNA". It matches the Rfam family "Bacterial small subunit ribosomal RNA", at positions 20 to 514 of the family's 1533-position model. The record is from RNAcentral. Lineage: Bacteria; Pseudomonadati; Pseudomonadota; Alphaproteobacteria; Hyphomicrobiales; Phyllobacteriaceae.
UGGCUCAGAACGAACGCUGGCGGCAGGCUUAACACAUGCAAGUCGAGCGCCCCGCAAGGGGAGCGGCAGACGGGUGAGUAACGCGUGGGAAUCUACCCAUCUCUACGGAACAACUCCGGGAAACUGGAGCUAAUACCGUAUACGUCCUUCGGGAGAAAGAUUUAUCGGAGAUGGAUGAGCCCGCGUUGGAUUAGCUAGUUGGUGGGGUAAUGGCCUACCAAGGCGACGAUCCAUAGCUGGUCUGAGAGGAUGAUCAGCCACACUGGGACUGAGACACGGCCCAGACUCCUACGGGAGGCAGCAGUGGGGAAUAUUGGACAAUGGGCGAAAGCCUGAUCCAGCCAUGCCGCGUGAGUGAUGAAGGCCCUAGGGUUGUAAAGCUCUUUCAACGGUGAAGAUAAUGACGGUAACCGUAGAAGAAGCCCCGACCAACUUCGUGCCAGCCG